RNAcentral lists this ribosomal RNA (119 nucleotides) under Helianthus annuus (common sunflower). The record is from RNAcentral. Lineage: Eukaryota; Viridiplantae; Streptophyta; Magnoliopsida; Asterales; Asteraceae.
GGUUGCGAUCAUACCAGCACUAAUGCACCGGAUCCCAUCAGAACUCCGCAGUUAAGCGUGCUUGGGCGAGACUAGUACUAGGAUGGGUGAACCCCUGGGAAGUCCUCGUGUUGCAACCC